GGCAGGAUCAACCAGGUAGCAUCCCUAAUUGACAUAACCCGCCCGCUGGUACGAGCCAACACGGGACAGGCAAGUCUUUCAAGGUGUUGCGCCACUCUUUGACAAACUCUCCUGAUCCCAAUGGCAAAGCCGAUUCAGGCAAGACAGUAGGUUAUGUUAACUUUGGCAAACCCUCCUGAUGGCAAAGCCAAAUCAGGCAAGACAGUAGGCAUUGUUAACUUUGACAAACCCUCCCGAUGGCAAGGCCAAUUCAGGCAAGACAGUAAGCAUUGUUAACUUUGACAAACCCUCCCGAUGGCAAGGCCAAAACAGGCAAGACAGUAAGCAUUGUUAACUUUGACAAACCCUCCUGAUGGCAAGGCCAAUUCAGGCAAGACAGUAUGCAUUGUUAACUUUGACAAACCCUCCCUAUGGCAAAGCCGUUUCAGGCAAGACAGUAAGCAUUGUUAACUUUGACAAACCCUCCCGAUGGCAAAGCCGUUUCAGGCAAGACAGUAAGCAUUGUUAACUUUGACAAACCCUCCCGAUGGCAGGGCCAAACAGGCAAGACAGUAAGCAUUGUUAACUUUGACAAACCCUCCCGAUGGCAAGGCCAAACCAGGCAAGACAGCAAGUCAUGUUAAGAGAGGCACAAACGCUAAAUGAGGGCAAACCAAGGAUCCCAUGAGACCCCAUGCCCACAUCGUUUUCCAUAUCCAGGAUACCAAGCAACGCUCAUUGGGCCACAACAUCAACGCAAGCAUAAUGUUGUGGAUCAAAGAGACUGCUUUGUGGUUCAUCCGAUGCCACAAAAAUGGCACGAGACGAAAUCAACUGUAAUCAACCAAGACAAUACCAAUGCUUAGGUACGCAACACAGAAACCCACAAUUUGGCCAGGCAAUAGAUGCCCAAACAAACAACUUGAAGGAGGUAUGCCGGGUGG
RNAcentral lists this unclassified non-coding RNA (923 nucleotides) under Bidens sp. 'Lyon'. Its description in RNAcentral is "partial external transcribed spacer". Lineage: Eukaryota; Viridiplantae; Streptophyta; Magnoliopsida; Asterales; Asteraceae. The record is from RNAcentral.